ACUCCUACGGGAGGCAGCAGUGGGGAAUAUUGCGCAAUGGGCGAAAGCCUGACGCAGCAACGCCGUGUGAGGGAUGAAGGCUUUCGGGUCGUAAACCUCUGUCGGAAGGGAAGAACGGGCAUUGGUCUAAUAGGCCUUUGUUUUGACGGUACCUUUAGAGGAAGCACCGGCUAACUCCGUGCCAGCAGCCGCGGUAAUACGGAGGGUGCAAGCGUUAUUCGGAAUUACUGGGCGUAAAGCGCACGUAGGCCGUUUUGUAAGUCAGGGGUGAAAUCCCACGGCUCAACCGUGGAACUGCCUUUGAAACUGCAGAACUUGAAUCCUGGAGAGGGUGGCGGAAUUCCUGGUGUAGGAGUGAAAUCCGUAGAUAUCAGGAGGAACACCGGUGGCGAAGGCGGCCACCUGGACAGGUAUUGACGCUGAGGUGCGAAAGUGUGGGGAGCAAACAGGAUUAGAUACCCUGGUAGUC
This 469-nucleotide ribosomal RNA is filed under the name uncultured bacterium. Its description in RNAcentral is "bacterial SSU rRNA". It matches the Rfam family "Bacterial small subunit ribosomal RNA", at positions 335 to 795 of the family's 1533-position model. The record is from RNAcentral.